RNAcentral lists this ribosomal RNA (387 nucleotides) under uncultured eukaryote. RNAcentral's name for it is "partial 18S ribosomal RNA". It matches the Rfam family "Eukaryotic small subunit ribosomal RNA", at positions 592 to 976 of the family's 1831-position model. The record is from RNAcentral.
CAAUAGCGUAUAUUAAAGUUGUUGCAGUUAAAAAGCUCGUAGUUGGAUUUCUGAUUGAGACAUCAGGUCGGGUCCGAGAGGAUCAUGUACUUUGAUUUGUUUUGAUCAUCCUUGGGGAGAGCAGUUCUGGCAUUAAGUUGUCGGGGUUGGGAUCCUCAUCGUUUACUGUGAAAAAAUUAGAGUGUUCAAAGCAGGCCUCGGCCUCUGAAUACAUUAGCAUGGAAUAAUAAGAUAGGACUUUGGUGGUCUAUUUUGUUGGUUUGCACGCCAAAGUAAUGAUUAAUAGGGAUAGUUGGGGGUAUUCGUAUUCAAUUGUCAGAGGUGAAAUUCUUGGAUUUAUGGAAGACGAACUACUGCGAAAGCAUUUACCAAGGAUGUUUUCAUUAA